RNAcentral lists this ribosomal RNA (503 nucleotides) under uncultured Lachnospiraceae bacterium. RNAcentral's name for it is "partial 16S ribosomal RNA". Lineage: Bacteria; Bacillati; Bacillota; Clostridia; Lachnospirales; Lachnospiraceae. The record is from RNAcentral.
CACGUAGUUAGCCGGGGCUUCUUAGUCAGGUACCGUCUUGUCUCGUUCCUGCUGAUAGAGCUUUACAUACCGAAAUACUUCUUCACUCACGCGGCGUCGCUGCAUCAGGGUUUCCCCCAUUGUGCAAUAUUCCCCACUGCUGCUUCCCGUAGGAGUUUGGGCCGUGUCUCAGUCCCAAUGUGGCCGUCCACCCUCUCAGGCCGGCUACUGAUCGUCGCUUUGGUAGGCCGUUACCCUGCCAACUGGCUAAUCAGACGCGGGUCCAUCCCAUACCACCGGAGUUUUUCACGCAGGAGCAUGCGCUCCCGUGCGCUUAUGCGGUAUUAGCACCUGUUUCCAGGUGGUAUCCCCCGGUAUGGGGCAGGUUACCCACGCGUUACUCACCCGUCCGCCACUAAGAUACUCAUUUCCAAAGUGCAAGCACUCCUUCCAUAAGCAUCCCCGUUCGACUUGCAUGUGUUAAGCACGCCGCCAGCGUUCAUCCUGAGCCAGGAUCAAACUCU